GGCCGGAUGUAGCCAAGUGGAUCAAGGCAGUGGAUUGUGAAUCCACCAUGCGCAAA
Molecule: transfer RNA, 56 nt
Filed under: Cuminum cyminum
Lineage: Eukaryota; Viridiplantae; Streptophyta; Magnoliopsida; Apiales; Apiaceae
Description: partial tRNA-His
Source: RNAcentral